Molecule: ribosomal RNA, 495 nt
Filed under: uncultured bacterium
Lineage: Bacteria
Description: partial 16S ribosomal RNA
Rfam family: Bacterial small subunit ribosomal RNA
Source: RNAcentral
GACGAACGCUGGCGGCGUGCCUAAUACAUGCAAGUAGAACGCUGAAGGAGGAGCUUGCUUCUCCGGAUGAGUUGCGAACGGGUGAGUAACGCGUAGGUAACCUGCCUGGUAGCGGGGGAUAACUAUUGGAAACGAUAGCUAAUACCGCAUAACAGUAGAUAUUGCAUGAUAUCUGCUUGAAAGGUGCAAUUGCAUCACUACCAGAUGGACCUGCGUUGUAUUAGCUAGUUGGUGAGGUAACGGCUCACCAAGGCGACGAUACAUAGCCGACCUGAGAGGGUGAUCGGCCACACUGGGACUGAGACACGGCCCAGACUCCUACGGGAGGCAGCAGUAGGGAAUCUUCGGCAAUGGACGGAAGUCUGACCGAGCAACGCCGCGUGAGUGAAGAAGGGUUUCGGAUCGUAAAGCUCUGUUGUAAGAGAAGAACGAGUGUGAGAGUGGAAAGUUCACACUGUGACGGUAGCUUACCAGAAAGAGACGGCUAACUACGUG